GAUGAAGAACGCAGCGAAAUGCGAUAAGUAGUGUGAAUUGCAGAAUUCAGUGAAUCAUCGAAUCUUUGAACGCACAUUGCGCCCUUUGGUAUUCCUUAGGGCAUGCCUGUUCGAGCGUCAUUUGUACCUUCAAGCUCUGCUUGGUGUUGGGUGUUUGUCUCGCCUCUGCGUGUAGACUCGCCUCAAAACAAUUGGCAGCCGGCGUAUUGAUUUCGGAGCGCAGUACAUCUCGCGCUUUGCACUCAUAACGACGACGUCCAAAAGUACAUUUUUACACUCUUGACCUCGGAUCAGGUAGGGAUACCCGCUGAACUUAAGCAUAUCAAUAAGCGGAGGA
RNAcentral lists this unclassified non-coding RNA (337 nucleotides) under soil metagenome. RNAcentral describes it as "partial contains 5.8S ribosomal RNA, internal transcribed spacer 2, and large subunit ribosomal RNA". The stretch from base 1 to 120 matches the Rfam family "5.8S ribosomal RNA", at positions 35 to 154 of the family's 154-position model. The record is from RNAcentral.